This 497-nucleotide ribosomal RNA is filed under the name uncultured bacterium. RNAcentral describes it as "partial 16S ribosomal RNA". It matches the Rfam family "Bacterial small subunit ribosomal RNA", at positions 28 to 507 of the family's 1533-position model. The record is from RNAcentral.
GAUGAACGCUGGCGGCGUGCCUAAUACAUGCAAGUCGAGCGAACGGACGAGAAGCUUGCUUCUCUGAUGUUAGCGGCGGACGGGUGAGUAACACGUGGAUAACCUACCUAUAAGACUGGGAUAACUUCGGGAAACCGGAGCUAAUACCGGCUGAUAUUUUGAACCGCAUGGUUCAAAAGUGAAAGACGGUCUUGCUGUCACUUAUAGAUGGAUCCGCGCUGCAUUAGCUAGUUGGUAAGGUAACGGCUUACCAAGGCAACGAUGCAUAGCCGACCUGAGAGGGUGAUCGGCCACACUGGAACUGAGACACGGUCCAGACUCCUACGGGAGGCAGCAGUAGGGAAUCUUCCGCAAUGGGCGCAAGCCUGACGGAGCAACGCCGCGUGAGUGAUGAAGGUCUUCGGAUCGUAAAACUCUGUUAUUAGGGAAGAACAUAUGUGUAAGUAACUGUGCACAUCUUGACGGUACCUAAUCAGAAAGCAACGGCUAACUACGUG